Pangasianodon gigas (Mekong giant catfish) is the source of this 74-nucleotide non-coding RNA. The record is from the annotation of a GenBank genome assembly. Lineage: Eukaryota; Metazoa; Chordata; Actinopteri; Siluriformes; Pangasiidae.
GGCAAUGGUAUCUCAGUGGUUAAGACGUUGGGCUACUGAUCGGAAGGUCAUGUGUUCAAACCCCAUCAAGGCCA